This 1049-nucleotide unclassified non-coding RNA is filed under the name Hevea brasiliensis (rubber tree). Lineage: Eukaryota; Viridiplantae; Streptophyta; Magnoliopsida; Malpighiales; Euphorbiaceae. The record is from RNAcentral.
UUGGUUAAAUCAGCUUUCAGGGGAAAUCCCACAGGAGUUGAUGUACUUGCAGGCUUUGGAGAAUUUGAUUCUUGAUUUUAAUGACUUAACUGGACCAAUACCUGCAAGUCUUAGCAACUGUACCAAGUUGAAUUGGAUUUCAUUGUCAAAUAACCAAUUGAGUGGUGAGAUACCGGCUUCUCUUGGGCGUUUGUCAAAUCUAGCUAUUCUUAAGCUUGGAAACAACUCAAUCUCAGGGAAUAUACCUGCUGAAUUGGGUAAUUGCCAGAGCUUGAUAUGGUUGGAUCUCAAUACUAAUUUCCUGAAUGGAUCCAUUCCGCCACCUUUGUUCAAGCAAUCUGGCAAUAUUGCAGUGGCAUUACUGACCGGGAAGCGAUACGUGUAUAUCAAGAAUGAUGGGAGUAAGGAGUGCCAUGGAGCAGGGAAUCUGCUGGAGUUUGGAGGGAUUAGACAGGAACAGCUGGAUAGAAUCUCAACAAGGCAUCCUUGCAAUUUCACAAGAGUUUAUAGAGGUAUCACUCAGCCAACAUUUAACCACAAUGGCUCUAUGAUAUUUCUUGAUUUAUCUUAUAAUAAGUUGGAAGGUAGUAUCCCAAAGGAAUUAGGGGCAAUGUACUAUCUGUCUAUAUUGAAUUUGGGGCAUAAUGAUCUGUCUGGUAUGAUUCCUCAACAACUUGGAGGCUUGAAGAAUGUUGCAAUUCUUGAUUUGUCAUAUAAUAGGUUCAAUGGCACGAUCCCGAAUUCCCUCACCAGUCUUACAUUGCUUGGAGAGAUUGACCUGUCAAACAAUAAUCUCAGUGGAAUGAUUCCUGAAUCUGCACCAUUUGACACAUUCCCUGAUUAUAGGUUUGCGAAUAAUUCCCUCUGUGGGUAUCCUCUCCCCAUACCUUGUAGCUCGGGGCCGAAAUCGGAUGCAAAUCAGCAUCAGAAGUCUCACCGCAGACAAGCAUCGUUGGCAGGGAGUGUGGCCAUGGGUUUGUUAUUUUCCCUCUUUUGUAUCUUUGGUUUGAUUAUUGUUGCCAUAGAGACGAAGAAGAGGAGGAGGAAGA